Long non-coding RNA from Anopheles coluzzii, 434 nucleotides. RefSeq lists it as uncharacterized. The transcript has 3 exons. The record is from RefSeq and is a predicted model, not a curated record. Lineage: Eukaryota; Metazoa; Arthropoda; Insecta; Diptera; Culicidae.
CAAUAUUUGAAAUGUAAAUCAGAAUAAAAUCAAUUCAUUUGAAGUAAAAUAAAUACCAUUAUACUCUAUUUUGUCCAUAUGAUCAACACUUGUACAUAGUGCCAUUUACUUUGUGUUCUUCACUCUCGCGCUGUGUGGUGAUCGUUCGAAACUCAAGGCCAGAACGAAUGCAAAUUUCAUAUGGGAAGGAUUGGUGCCGGUAGAUGCGAAAAUUAUUAAAUGUGAAUAGAAAAGUGGUUAAGUAAAUCGUGAAAGAUGUCAACGCAGGCGUAAAUGCAGUAUGUUUUGUUACAUGAUCUACGGCUAUUUCAUUACCAAAGCUCUUGAUAACAGAUCAAAGCAGAUGGAUCGGACAUACAGAGUCGCCGUUUAAUUUAAAAUAUCUGCGUGAUCGCAAACGCAUCAAACAGCAAGUGUUUUCCUUCCAACAGCAC